GACGAACGCUGGCGGCGUGCUUAACACAUGCAAGUCGAACGGAAAGGCCCUGCUUUUGUGGGGUGCUCGAGUGGCGAACGGGUGAGCAACACGUGCGUAACCUGCCCUUGACUUUGGGAUAACUUCAGGAAACUGGGGCUAAUACCGGAUAGGAGCUCCUGCUGCAUGGUGGGGGUUGGAAAGUGUCGGCGGUUGGGGAUGGACUCGCGGCUUAUCAGCUUGUUGGUGGGGUAGUGGCUUACCAAGGCUUUGAGGGGUAGCCGGCCUGAGAGGGUGACCGGCCACAUUGGGACUGAGAUACGGCCCAGACUCCUACGGGAGGCAGCAGUGGGGAAUAUUGCACAAUGGGCGGAAGCCUGAUGCAGCAACGCCGCGUGCGGGAUGACGGCCUUCGGGUUGUAAACCGCUUUCGCCUGUGACGAAGCGUGAGUGACGGUAAUGGGUAAAGAAGCACCGGCUAACUACGUG
Molecule: ribosomal RNA, 468 nt
Filed under: uncultured bacterium
Lineage: Bacteria
Description: partial 16S ribosomal RNA
Rfam family: Bacterial small subunit ribosomal RNA
Source: RNAcentral